This 286-nucleotide ribosomal RNA is filed under the name uncultured Campylobacterota bacterium. RNAcentral describes it as "uncultured Epsilonproteobacteria bacterium partial 16S ribosomal RNA". It matches the Rfam family "Bacterial small subunit ribosomal RNA", at positions 28 to 302 of the family's 1533-position model. Lineage: Bacteria; Pseudomonadati; Campylobacterota. The record is from RNAcentral.
GAUGAACGCUGGCGGUCUGCUUAACACAUGCAAAGUCGAACGAGAACGGACUUAAGCUUGCUUAAGUUGUCAGCUAAGUGGCGCACGGGUGAGUAAUGUAUAGUUAACCUGCCCUCUAGAGAGGAAUAACAGUUGGAAACGACUGCUAAUGCCUUAUAUGCCUUUAAAGACAGAAGUCUGCAAGGGAAAUGCUUUAGUGCUAGAGGAUGGGUCUGUAUGGCAUCAGUUAGUUGGUGGGGUAAAUGGCUUACCAAGACAAUGACGCCUAAACUGGUUUGAGAGGAUG